RNAcentral lists this ribosomal RNA (482 nucleotides) under uncultured bacterium. RNAcentral's name for it is "partial 16S ribosomal RNA". It matches the Rfam family "Bacterial small subunit ribosomal RNA", at positions 29 to 507 of the family's 1533-position model. The record is from RNAcentral.
AUUGAACGCUGGCGGCAUGCCUUACACAUGCAAGUCGAACGGCAACGGGCCUUCGGGUGCCGACGCGUGGCGAACGGGUGAGUAAUACAUCGGAACGUGCCCGCUCGUGGGGGCUAAUGAGGCGAAAGCUUUGCUAACACCGCAUACGACCUACGGAUGAAAGCAGGGGACCGCAAGGCCUUGCGCGGGCGGAGCGGCCGAUGGCAGACUAGGUAGUUGGUGGGAUAAAAGCUUCCCAAGCCGACGCUCUGUAGCUGGUCUGAGAGGAUGAUCAGCCACACUGGGACUGCGACGCGGCCCAGACUCCUACGGGAAGCAGCAGUGGGGAAGUUUGCACAACGGGCGCAAGCCUGAUCCAGCCAUGCCGCGUGCAGGAGGAAGGCCUUCGGGUUGUAAACUGCUCUUGUACGGAACGACAGGCCUUCUAUUAAUACAGGAGGUUCAUGACGGUACCGUAAGAAGAAGCACCGGCUAACUACGUG